AGGGCUUCGGCCCCGGUACAGUGGCGCACGGGUGAGUAACACGUGGGUAAUCUUCCCUUUGGCGGGGGAUAACCUUCCGAAAGGAGGGCUAAUACCGCAUAAGACCACGCCCUCGAAAGAGGAAGCGGUCAAAGCAGGCCUCUAUUCAUAAGCUUGCACCAAAGGAUGAGUCCGCGGCCCAUCAGCUAGUUGGUAGGGUAAUGGCCUACCAAGGCAAAGACGGGUAGCUGGUCUGAGAGGAUGAUCAGCCACACUGGAACUGAGACACGGUCCAGACUCCUACGGGAGGCAGCAGUGGGGAAUCUUGCGCAAUGGACGAAAGUCUGACGCAGCGACGCCGCGUGGGUGAUGAAGGCCUUCGGG
RNAcentral lists this ribosomal RNA (363 nucleotides) under uncultured bacterium. RNAcentral describes it as "bacterial SSU rRNA". It matches the Rfam family "Bacterial small subunit ribosomal RNA", at positions 74 to 422 of the family's 1533-position model. The record is from RNAcentral.